GACAGCCGCCGCCCCGGAGGUUACUCUAGGCCGGCAGGCCUGCCCGUUCCCGCGGAUCGCCGUGGUCUCCUUACCAUGAGGCCAGUGAGUCGCCGCACCCUGGACCGGAUUUAUUCCGUGUUGCUCCUCGCGAUCGUAUUACUUUCCUGGGGAUAUGUCAUCUAUGCAUCGACAGUAGCCGCUCGACGACAACUAAGGAAGAAAUACCCAGACAAAAUAUUCGGGAAUGAAUGAAAUUUGUAAUUCCUCUAGAUUUUAUUCUAUGCAAAUACUUCACUUUAUGCUUACCUGACACAUGUCUAUAUUUAAAGUAAAAUCCAUAAUAUAAAGUUUUCAAAUUUAUUAUUGCAUACAGUCCUUUAUAAUAAACCAUGAAUGUGCUAACUUUUC
Myotis brandtii (Brandt's bat) is the source of this 390-nucleotide long non-coding RNA. RefSeq lists it as uncharacterized. Lineage: Eukaryota; Metazoa; Chordata; Mammalia; Chiroptera; Vespertilionidae. The record is from RefSeq and is a predicted model, not a curated record. The transcript is spliced from 2 exons.